GACGAACGCUGGCGGCGUGCUUAACACAUGCAAGUCGAACGGAAAGGCCCUGUCUUUGUGGGGUGCUCGAGUGGCGAACGGGUGAGUAACACGUGAGUAACCUGCCCUUGACUUUGGGAUAACUUCAGGAAACUGGGGCUAAUCCCGGAUAGGAGCUCCUGCUGCAUGGUGGGGGUGGGAAAGUUUCGGCGGUUGGGGAUGGACUCGCGGCUUAUCAGCUCGUUGGUGGGGUAGUGGCUUACCAAGGCUUUGACGGGUAGCCGGCCUGAGAGGGUGACCGGCCACAUUGGGACUGAGAUGCGGCCCAGACUCCUACGGGAGGCAACAGUGGGGAAUAGUGUACAGUGGGCGGGAGCCUGGUGCGACAACGCCGCGUGCGGGAUGACGGCCUUCGGGUAGUGAACCGCUUUCGCCUGUGACGAGGCGUGAGUGACGGUAAUGGGUGAAGAAGCACCGGCUAACUACGUG
RNAcentral lists this ribosomal RNA (468 nucleotides) under uncultured bacterium. Its description in RNAcentral is "partial 16S ribosomal RNA". It matches the Rfam family "Bacterial small subunit ribosomal RNA", at positions 28 to 507 of the family's 1533-position model. The record is from RNAcentral.